AAUAAACUAAUUUGAAUAAGUGCUCACACUGUGAGUUAAAAGGGAAACCAGUGAAAAUCUGGUACAGCCCCCGCUACUGUAAAAGCUGAUGAAAUUACAAAACCACUGAGAAAUCGGGAAGGUGUAAGAGUAAAAUGAAGCUUGAGUCAGGAAACCUGCUUAUUUAAACGACACUUA
This 177-nucleotide non-coding RNA is filed under the name Sporosarcina sp. The record is from RNAcentral. Lineage: Bacteria; Bacillati; Bacillota; Bacilli; Caryophanales; Caryophanaceae.